AACGAACGCUGGCGGCAGGCCUAACACAUGCAAGUCGAGCGGACCCUUCGGGGUUAGCGGCGGACGGGUGAGUAACGCGUGGGAAUAUGCCCUUCUCUACGGAAUAGUCCUGGGAAACUGGGGGUAAUACCGUAUACGCCCUUUGGGGGAAAGAUUUAUCGGGGAAGGAUUAGCCCGCGUUGGAUUAGGUAGUUGGUGGGGUAAUGGCCUACCAAGCCGACGAUCCAUAGCUGGUUUGAGAGGAUGAUCAGCCACACUGGGACUGAGACACGGCCCAGACUCCUACGGGAGGCAGCAGUGGGGAAUCUUAGACAAUGGGGGCAAACCUGAUCUAGCCAUGCCGCGUGAGUGAUGAAGGCCUUAGGGUUGUAAAGCUCUUUGAGCUGGGAAGAUAAUGACGGUACCAGCAGAAGAAGCCCCGGCUAACUCCGUG
This 433-nucleotide ribosomal RNA is filed under the name uncultured bacterium. RNAcentral's name for it is "partial 16S ribosomal RNA". It matches the Rfam family "Bacterial small subunit ribosomal RNA", at positions 29 to 507 of the family's 1533-position model. The record is from RNAcentral.